CCUACGGGUGGCAGCAGUGAGGAAUAUUGGUCAAUGGUCGGGAGACUGAACCAGCCAAGCCGCGUGAGGGAAGAAGGUACAGCGUAUCGUAAACCUCUUUUGUCAGGGAACAAAGGCGGGGACUAGUCCCCGGAUGAGGGUACCUGAAGAAAAAGCAUCGGCUAACUCCGUGCCAGCAGCCGCGGUAAUACGGAGGAUGCGAGCGUUAUCCGGAUUUAUUGGGUUUAAAGGGUGCGCAGGCGGCCUGUUAAGUCAGCGGUCAAAGCCCGGGGCUCAACCCCGGCGAGCCGUUGAAACUGGCGGUCUGGAGUUGGAGAGAAGUACGCGGAAUGCGCGGUGUAGCGGUGAAAUGCUUAGAUAUCGCGCAGAACCCCGAUUGCGAAGGCAGCGUACCGGCUCCACACUGACGCUGAGGCACGAAAGCGUGGGUAUCGAACAGGAUUAGAUACCCCAGUAGUC
RNAcentral lists this ribosomal RNA (459 nucleotides) under uncultured bacterium. RNAcentral describes it as "partial 16S ribosomal RNA". It matches the Rfam family "Bacterial small subunit ribosomal RNA", at positions 338 to 795 of the family's 1533-position model. The record is from RNAcentral.